GGAUGAUCCCUUCAUCUCCAAAUCAGCAGAUCGGCAAGCUCAAUUCCCCCCGUCGGGCAACCUCACAUAUUCCGGGGUUAGGACGUGGACAUCUACCAACCGAGCAAGCCCGGGAUCCUACAGCUCAGCAGUGGCAGCUGAGUGCACCACCCAGGGAGCACCCAGGAUGCCCUUCUGAGUCCAGGCAGAGGGCCCCACACUGGCAGAACCAUGAGGCUCCUUCUGCUCCUCUGCUUGGCUGCUCUAGAGUCGCCAGCAGUUUCUCCGUGGACCCUGAGGGAGGUGAGUAGCCCAGCACACUGGAGGGAGAAGGGCCCCCAGCCCCGGUGGGUGCCUUGGCUGGCAGGGGGUUGCUGAUGGAGUCGGGGUGUUUGCUGGUGGACAGCUGGAAACUGGCGCCUGGCCUCGGCCCCUGCAGGGCCCUGGGGGAGUGGCGAGAAGCAGGCUGAGCCGGCCAGGUGGGACCUCCAGGGGACGUGGGGCAGGGAGAGCGCUUGGCUUCCCCUUGGGCUGCGGGGGGAGUGGUGGGGACAAAGGGCGUAUCCCCAUCGCUCUACCACAGGUGCCUGAUCUGCGGGGUGGGUGUGACCCCAGAGAGGGCGGGUGGCAUGCUGGU
This 616-nucleotide long non-coding RNA is filed under the name Equus asinus (donkey). RNAcentral describes it as "lncRNA (ENSEASG00005030169.1)". Lineage: Eukaryota; Metazoa; Chordata; Mammalia; Perissodactyla; Equidae. The record is from RNAcentral.